Molecule: ribosomal RNA, 449 nt
Filed under: uncultured organism
Description: partial 16S ribosomal RNA
Rfam family: Bacterial small subunit ribosomal RNA
Source: RNAcentral
ACACUCCACGGGAGGCAGCAGUGGGGAAUAUUGGACAAUGGGCGCAAGCCUGAUCCAGCCAUGCCGCGUGAGUGAUGAAGGCCCUAGGGUUGUAAAGCUCUUUCACCGGUGAAGAUAAUGACGGUAACCGGAGAAGAAGCCCCGGCUAACUUCGUGCCAGCAGCCGCGGUAAUACGAAGGGGGCUAGCGUUGUUCGGAUUUACUGGGCGUAAAGCGCACGUAGGCGGACUAUUAAGUCAGGGGUGAAAUCCCGGGGCUCAACCCCGGAACUGCCUUUGAUACUGGUAGUCUUGAGUUCGAGAGAGGUGAGUGGAAUUCCGAGUGUAGAGGUGAAAUUCGUAGAUAUUCGGAGGAACACCAGUGGCGAAGGCGGCUCACUGGCUCGAUACUGACGCUGAGGUGCGAAAGCGUGGGGAGCAAACAGGAUUAGAUACCCUAGUAGUCCCAUG